Long non-coding RNA from Thamnophis elegans (Western terrestrial garter snake), 1069 nucleotides. RefSeq lists it as uncharacterized. NCBI's taxonomy places the organism in Eukaryota, Metazoa, Chordata, Lepidosauria, Squamata, Natricidae. The transcript is spliced from 4 exons. The record is from RefSeq and is a predicted model, not a curated record.
AUCGGAGUCCGUAGCGAAUUUCCAUUGGACGAGCCCUUUUGUCAGUCACCCGGCAGGCGACAUGACUGAUACAAAGUUGCUGCGACACAAGCUAGAAAAUGUAUCUCUUCUUAAAGCUGUAGAAGCCUCUGUAGCAAAGCGGCUCGCGUCGCUUUCCGGGGGGAGGGGGGGGAGGCUGUAAAUUCCCUCCCACCCCACCCGAUCAGUCCCAGGGAAAGUGAGAUUUAGGAAUCAAUCUUUGAAAGACGAACAACUUUCACAAGAGCAACAACAACGGAGGGAUGAAGGCAGCUUCUACAAGGGAAACUCGCUCAAUCCGGCCUCUCAACGGGAGUUAGAACUUGAUCCCACGCCCUCAAGUUGGCAGCCCUUCCUAAAUUGCAUCCGUCUAACCGUUUCCUCUUAAAAAAAAAACCAUGCUGGGAUCCGAACAGGAGGGUUCGAUUCCCAAGGCAGCCCUGCCCACCCCUCGAGACACGAUCUCUACCUGUAUCAAGAGCUGGAAUGUGCAGAGCAUCCGUGAUGAAGUCUGGGCAUGUAGGCGGAGCCUCCUGUUGCCACCACUACCGGUUUGCCUGAAUCGUUGCAAACCAGCAGGAUACCACCUUUGGAAUUGUCAUUGGCUCUUGUACAUGAUGGAAUAAGCUGAGAGGCAGUCUGAAGAUUAUUGCACCCCACCUGGUUUCCAAUUAUAAAAAGAAAAUGCUGAGACCACCAGAGUGUAGGCGUGUGAAGGAGAAAGACGGGACAGCAUAAAGGAAAAAAAUUGCAGCUGAGGAAAUGUCAGUUCAGCAGGCAAUGAAUGGUAAAGAAGGAGCAGGCUUGUACUUCACCAAAGCAAUAGCAACUAAGCUGAAAGGAGAAACAGAUUCCAGCAGCUUCCCUAUUCCAGCAGCACCACUGACAAACUACGGCCAGACAGCAGCUGGUAAAUCAUUUUCCUUUUCUCACCCCAGCAUGGACUGAGAAACUGCCAGACCAAUGUUCCAGUAGCAGUUUAACACAGUACUGAACCAUGCAAUGUCACAUGACAAAAUAUAAAAUUAAAACUGAGGGACGCAGUGGCUCA